This 80-nucleotide non-coding RNA is filed under the name Streptomyces regalis. RNAcentral describes it as "Streptomyces RNA 6106". It matches the Rfam family "Streptomyces RNA 6106". From Rfam's summary of the family: Identified by deep sequencing of transcriptome at the end of exponential growth phase. Appears smaller on northern blot than sequencing transcript. Lineage: Bacteria; Bacillati; Actinomycetota; Actinomycetes; Kitasatosporales; Streptomycetaceae. The record is from Rfam by way of RNAcentral.
ACGCCGUCCCGAGCGGCGUUCGCGGCCUCGAACGGGCCAUGGCGGGGGUGGUGCCGUGUCGGCGCAGCACCACCCCUUGC